Molecule: ribosomal RNA, 1092 nt
Filed under: Carijoa riisei
Lineage: Eukaryota; Metazoa; Cnidaria; Anthozoa; Malacalcyonacea; Carijoidae
Description: 12S ribosomal RNA
Rfam family: Bacterial small subunit ribosomal RNA
Source: RNAcentral
CCACACUACUCCUUUGACCUUGGGGAGUCUAUAAGGCAAUGUGUUCUUCUAAUACAUGCAAGGCCCUGAAUAAGGGCCUCACUGGUGAGGAUAAAACGGAGAUAAUCUCGGUUGACGUAUUAGAAUAGGUGGGAUAGUGGCCCACCUGGUCGAAGAUGCGUAGUAUAGCCACACUUUCACUGAAACAAGGGGAAGACAUUUUGGCAGCAGUAGAGAAUUUUGUGCAAUGGGUAAACGCUUGACACAGAGUUUCACACUGAGGUCUGUCUAACUAAGUGCCAGCAGACGCGGUUAAACUUAGAGGCCCAGUUUUUAUUUCGCAUUAGGCGUUAAAGUAUGUAGUGAAGCAUGAGAAUAAAGUAAGGCAAACCUCUUGGUAGCGGUAAAAUGUUUGAAGCAAGAGUGGAAGUCCGAAGGUGGAGACUCCUUACUCCGUUCAUGAUAAAUCUUUAUGAAAUACGAAAGCUUGGAUAACAAACAGGAUUAGAUACCCUGGUAGUCCUCGCCCUAAACUUAUACAAUAGCUUUAUUAGCAAAUAACCUUAUUGUAUGCCUGAAUACUAUGAUCGCAAGAUUGAAACUCAAAAGGCUUGGCUGUUCACUGUUUGAAUCAGAGGAGCGUGUAAUUUAAUACGAUGAUCCGCGUGUCACCUUACCUUUCCUUGAAAGCGGCCUACCUUUUGUAGGUAGUAGCCGCUCAGGCAUUGCAUGGCCGUCGUCAGGAUAACAGUAAAUGUUAUUCUUAACCCUAUUAUGGAUUAAGUCAGGUGUUAUGGUCUUUAUGGAAAGGGAUAUUAUGCGCUACAUUCUCCUAUACAAUAUACACAAUAAAUUAGGAGGCGGAGAUUUUCUGAAACGGGAAUCUUAAGUAGGAUUUGAUAGUAAUCGGGAAGUAGAGCGUUCCGGUGAAUUCUAACCCAGUGUUAGCACAAAUCGCCCGUCGUCCCCUUCAAGUUAAGGAUACGAGACGCCCCGCAGCGGGGUUAUCCCUCCUUUUCGAGAAUGGGUAAGUCGUAACAUAGUAAGGGUAAGGGAACUUGUUCUUGGGCCAAAUUAUGCGCGUUCAAUACGUACUUGGCCGCUCUCCGUAAC